CCUACGGGUGGCAGCAGUGGGGGAUAUUGGACAAUGGGGGGAACCCUGAUCCAGCGACGCCGCCUGAGUGAAGAAGUAUUUCGGUAUGUAAAGCUCUGUCAGCAGGGAAGAACGUAAUGACGGUACCUGACCAAGAAGCGCCGGCUAACUACGUGCCAGCAGCCGCGUGAAUACGUAGGGGGAAAUCGUUAUCCGGAAUUAUUGGGUGUAAAGGGGGCGUAGACGGUUAAGUAAGUCUGGAGUGAAAGGCCGGGGCUCAACCCCUGGACUGGUCGGGAAACUAGUGAACUUGAGUACAGGAGAGGUAAGCGGAAUUCCUAGUGUAGCGGUGAAAUGCAUAGAUAUCGCGAAGAACUCCGAUUGCGAAGGCAGCAUGCCGGCUCCACACUGACGCUGAGGCACGAAAGCGUGGGUAUCGAACAGGAUUAGAUACCCCUGUAGUC
Molecule: ribosomal RNA, 443 nt
Filed under: uncultured bacterium
Lineage: Bacteria
Description: partial 16S ribosomal RNA
Rfam family: Bacterial small subunit ribosomal RNA
Source: RNAcentral